AUAACAGAUUUACUAACUACAUCAAAACAAAAAAAAAAAUACAAAUAAGCAAGAUGAUUCUAUCAAAAUUAUUGUUGAUCCAAAUGUUGAUACCAUACCAGGGACUCCUCAAGAGAACGAAGACUACAUUAUUACUCCUUUUAUAGAACCAGUUAUUGUAAGAAGACUAGACUUUGAUAUUCCUCAUUUGAUUAAUACAGAUAAUAACCAAGAUGAUUUACAAAUAGAAGAUGACAUUAAUAAACAAAAAAACAGCAGGAAAAGAGAAAAUUAAAGAAAAUUGGGAGGAGAAUAAAACGACCUUACAGAGAUCUUAAGGAAAAGAAUAAACAUCUCCGAAAGGAAAAAUUAUUCCAGCAAAAUCUAUUAACAAACAUCAAUCGUAUCAGCUCCAAUGCCGUUUGCAAUUAUUCACAAAUGUAAAUAUUGAAUCAAGAAAUAAUUUAUUUAAUGCUUAUUAUAAAAUGGAUGUAAGUAUAAAAAAAAUUCAUAUAUUUUUAAGAGUAUAAAAAUUGGAAACAGCCUGUAAAACAGUUAGUAGUACACCAAAGAAAGUAAGAUCUCUCACAUUCCAAUAUUUUGUCAAAACCGAAGAAAAGGGCGUAAAAGUAUGUAAAACUGCUUUUUGUGAAAUUUAUCAAAUUGGUUGCAAAAAAAAAAAAUAGAAUUGAUUCAAAACCAACUCAAAUUUGAUGUUUCACCUCUUUUAAAUAGAAGAGGUAAACAUGAAAAUCGUCCAAAUAGGAUAUCUGACUUAACUAUUAAACACAUUAUGAAUCAUAUUGAUAGUUUUCCUGCCGAGUCAUCAUAUUAUUCAAGAAAUAAUAACCCAGGUUAGUUUCAAAUGCAUUUGAAGCCAAACACAAUGAUAAAACAAAAGUAUUACUAGACUACCAUUUGCUACCUAACUAUGGAAAUUCAACAAACCAUGCCACUACCUAAGAUUUCAACAUCAAAAGCUUUUUAUCUUCGCCAAUUAUGGUUUUAUAACUUUG
This is a long non-coding RNA of Metopolophium dirhodum (rose-grain aphid), 995 nucleotides long. RefSeq lists it as uncharacterized. The record is from RefSeq and is a predicted model, not a curated record. Lineage: Eukaryota; Metazoa; Arthropoda; Insecta; Hemiptera; Aphididae. The transcript has 3 exons.